UACGUAGGGUGCAAGCGUUGUCCGGAAUUAUUGGGCGUAAAGAGCUCGUAGGCGGUCUGUCGCGUCGGAUGUGAAAAUCCAGGGCUCAACCCUGGACCUGCAUUCGAUACGGGCAGACUGGAGUACUGCAGGGGAGACUGGAAUUCCUGGUGUAGCGGUGGAAUGCGCAGAUAUCAGGAGGAACACCGGUGGCGAAGGCGGGUCUCUGGGCCUUACCUGACGCUGAGGAGCGAAAGCGUGGGUAGCGAACAGG
This 253-nucleotide ribosomal RNA is filed under the name uncultured bacterium. Its description in RNAcentral is "partial 16S ribosomal RNA". It matches the Rfam family "Bacterial small subunit ribosomal RNA", at positions 524 to 776 of the family's 1533-position model. The record is from RNAcentral.